Molecule: transfer RNA, 72 nt
Filed under: Pseudopyrenochaeta lycopersici CRA-PAV_ER 1211
Lineage: Eukaryota; Fungi; Ascomycota; Dothideomycetes; Pleosporales; Pseudopyrenochaetaceae
Description: tRNA-Glu (CTC) (tRNA-Glu-CTC-1-1)
Rfam family: tRNA
About the family: Transfer RNA (tRNA) molecules are approximately 80 nucleotides in length. Their secondary structure includes four short double-helical elements and three loops (D, anti-codon, and T loops).
Source: RNAcentral
UCCGAUAUGGUCUAGUGGCUAGGAUUUGUCGCUCUCACCGACAAGGCCCGGGUUCGAUUCCCGGUGUCGGAA